AAACAGUCCCAGUGUCUUAUCAGAAUGAAGUCACAACUGAGUUUGGUGGGGUUUAUUCCCAAGAAAAUGGGUAGGGAAUUGCGGUCUCAGAGAUAACAGCCCAGACCAAAUGGUUAACCUCCCAGGGAUGGAAGCAGUUCUGUCAGCAAAACUGGGGAAGUCACCCCUAACACAUCUCACAGGCCCUCAACAUAGCCUCCCAAAGGGCUAGAAAACUCAAGUUGUGAGAGGGAAGACAGAAAGAGAAAAUUCCAUUCUGCUGGACCAGAACGUCGCUGCUAGGCGACAGCUUGUAAUUCGAGCUGAGGGCCUGUUAAUGUCCCUGAGAGGUGACUGAGGCAGUAUUUCCAUGCUUGUGAAACCAGAGUUCAAGAAAACCCCCUGCUUCAAUGCUAAAGACUGAUCACCAGACAAAGCAUCACCCUAGAGGUGAGAAAAGUUUGUUCUAUGACACUCAGCCAGAGGGCAGCUUGCGACUGCUCUGUGUGUGUGUGUGUGUGUGUGUGUGUGUGUGUGUGUGUGUGUGUGUGUGUGUGUGUGUGUGUGUGCGCACCCCACACAAUUUUAGGGUGAAGUACACCCCAGUCCUGGUGCAUAUGCUGCCUCUGACUUGGACACUCACAUUAGGGAAGACUUUCCCUCUUUCAGCCAUUGCCUCUAACACCUGUUUCUGGACUUAUUGGAACUUCACAUCGGAUUUAGCAGCCCCCCAAGGGCACUGGCAAGCUUCACAGCUCAGCAAAGGUUCGAAACCAGAGUUGCUCGGCCGAGUUUCCAAAUUCGACACCUUUCUCACUGAAACGAAUUACAAAUUUACUGAAGCACCUCGAGCCCUGUUCCUGGUCAGCUUACAAGGUCUAUUGUGAUCCAGUGGGUGAUGCUUUGAACAUUUGUGCUGCAGUGAAGAAGAGCGGAAGGACAGUUCUACAAUGGGCUUUGGAGUCAGCUUUCCUUUGCCAUUCCAAUGAAAACGUGGUUUUAAAACAAAACAGGCUCCUUGUGCAAUUAAUCCUCCCAUAGAUGUUGUUCCUGGAUCAUUCGGAGAGAAGUGCUGAGACAUAAAAAUGAGAAAAUCCCCACACACUACUCAACACCACGGCAUCUGUAUUCUGUUUCAAUCCACUCUGAAGAUACAAUGCACUCCAAUUUGGUGUGUGCUGAAACUGAAAAACCAAAUUAAGGGGGCUAAAUCUGUCAUAAUGGUUGUAGAAAACCAUUUCCUGUUUUUCAUUAGCCAUCCAUGGAGGGGAUUCUAGAAGUGAAUAAGAUAAUCCCUCACAAUGACUGUCAGACAGUCUCUUGACCAAUCCAGCCAUCUUCUUUCCAUAGUUAAUAUGAUUGGCGCUAAGAGCUUAUCUGCGUCACCUCUACCCAUUUGAAUUUGAGAUACGCUGAUGUGAAACUAGGGAAGAAAGAGGUUUAAAUUGUAUUAUUAACCAUAGUCUAAGUCUUGGCAAAGCUGAUUAAAUCAGUUACUCUCCGAUAAAAUCAUAAUAGGGCCCAUCUGUAUCUAUCUGACAGGAAACAUGUCAUUUGUAAUGUUUUGUGUUGUCUUUAAUGACUCUGAUUGUCGUCUUCCAGAGGGAGAAAGCACAAAAGGCAUCUGUAGGUCUGCAUGAAAAGAAUCACUUAUCGAUCGAGUUGUCAAGCCUGUCAGGCACUUAGUAACAGUGACGCGGCUACAUAAAAUCAAUGUGACAGCAUAUUUAUACACCAACUCCUAAGACUCGUCAAAAGAUGGUGUAUAUGGACUGCUGGAUAGCUCAGUGUUUUUGCAGACCCUUUUACAUGCAAAAUAACAUUUUCUCCUCUCAAUAAAAAAGAACCCUAUGGAUUUGCA
This is a long non-coding RNA of Pogona vitticeps (central bearded dragon), 1840 nucleotides long. NCBI's taxonomy places the organism in Eukaryota, Metazoa, Chordata, Lepidosauria, Squamata, Agamidae. The record is from Ensembl.